RNAcentral lists this long non-coding RNA (304 nucleotides) under Capsicum annuum. RNAcentral describes it as "long non-coding RNA (CANN_LNC005064)". Lineage: Eukaryota; Viridiplantae; Streptophyta; Magnoliopsida; Solanales; Solanaceae. The record is from RNAcentral.
UAUCUCGUUUAGUAAUUUCUGUUCUCUAUCUUUUUCUUCUUUUUCUUUUUGUCUUUGUUCAUACAACUCUUUUAAUAUUUGUAGUUCUUUUUCUAAUUCAGCAAUCCUACUAUUUUUAGUUUCUUCUAUUUUUCGUAUUUCUUCCGUAGUUUGUUGUUUUAUCUUUUCUAUUUCCUGUUUCCUAUCUAUUUCUUCAUUUUUUUUUUCUAUUCUUACCAUUGCUGUCAAUUUAUCUUCUAAUUUUAAUUCUUCUUUUUCUAACAUUAGAUAUAAAUGUUCACCUAUUUUCUUAUAUCUUCUUCCU